CAGCAGCCGCGGUAAUACGUAGGGUGCAAGCGUUAAUCGGAAUUACUGGGCGUAAAGCGUGCGCAGGCGGUUUGUUAAGACAGAUGUGAAAUCCCCGGGCUUAACCUGGGAACUGCAUUUGUGACUGGCAAGCUAGAGUAUGGCAGAGGGGGGUGGAAUUCCGCGUGUAGCAGUGAAAUGCGUAGAUAUGCGGAGGAACACCGAUGGCGAAGGCAGCCCCAUGGGCCAAUACUGACGCUCAUGCACGAAAGCGUGGGGAGCAAACAGGAUUAGAUACCCGCGUAGUCCCUGUCUCUUAUAC
RNAcentral lists this ribosomal RNA (301 nucleotides) under uncultured bacterium. RNAcentral's name for it is "partial 16S ribosomal RNA". It matches the Rfam family "Bacterial small subunit ribosomal RNA", at positions 509 to 807 of the family's 1533-position model. The record is from RNAcentral.